Molecule: non-coding RNA, 429 nt
Organism: Phasianus colchicus (ring-necked pheasant)
Lineage: Eukaryota; Metazoa; Chordata; Aves; Galliformes; Phasianidae
Source: RefSeq, a predicted model, not a curated record
UGCAGGCUGUGGGCUAGGCAGCGGGCAGGAUUGCUGGCCAGAAGCAAGCAUCUGUGUGGAGAAAGGCAAAGGGCGGAGGAGGUUGAAGGGGAGCUACCAGGCAUGGGCUUGCUCAGCAAGGGGAGCAGAAGCCUGAAGGGCACGAGAAGGGAAUAGAGAAGGGCAUGCAGAAGGAGAGAAGCUGCGAGCAGAGUUAAGAGGCACUUGUCAGAGCAGCAAGGAGAGCAGGCAAGUGUUGAGAUUGGGAGUGAGUAGCAGGAAAAGGCAAGAGCACCAAGAAAAAGGAGGCGAGGGGCAUGCAGCUCAGGUAGGGAAAAGGAAGGGCAUGCAGCUAAGGUAGGGAAAAGGAAGGGCAUGCGGCUCAGGUAGGGAAGGGAGGGGACAGCAGCUCAGGUAGGGAAAAGGAAGGGCAUGCAGCUCAGCUAGGGA